Molecule: long non-coding RNA, 4085 nt
Filed under: Triticum aestivum (bread wheat)
Lineage: Eukaryota; Viridiplantae; Streptophyta; Magnoliopsida; Poales; Poaceae
Description: long non-coding RNA (TAES_LNC009195)
Source: RNAcentral
UGGGACUCGGCAGAGGCAACACCAUGAAACUUCCAAGCCGAAGCAAUAGCAUGGCUCCCCCUUCAACAAUGGCUGGUCAUGCUUCGCUGCAGAUGAAUAUGUUUCUGAGGGCUUGGAAACAGCGUCCUUCAAAAGGUAAAUUGUUUCCAGGAUUUCUUAUGCUGCUAUAUAUCCUGACGUGUUCUGUAAUUUGUAGUAACGUUGUUAUGUUUCGGUUUCUUUGCUCUGAAUGAUUCUAGUUCCUCUUGUUUGAUCAGUAAUGUUGUCUGAUGAUUAUUCAUGGAAGAUGUUUUCUAGAUCAUCGAGGAGAUCUGCUUCCCAGUUCCACUACUUGAAUGAAAUAUGGGUAAACGCAGUCAGAUGUGUACAAACGGCCUGAUCUAAAACAGAAAAUUCAUUUAGCGCCGUCAGUCUGUUCUCCAAACUAACUGCUGAUGAGCAUACCAUUUUCUUUCAGAAGAAUGAAAGGUAGACGGGCAUAUCUUGUUGCCGUCAAAAUGGUGCUAUUUGGGGGCAAAACGGCGCAGCAUACUAGCAGCUUACCUCUUUGAAUUCAGAAGCAACCCGUUAAACAUAAUGAUCAGGAAGGCAACCUGGUAAGUAGCAAGCACGCCCAUUUACUGCUUCAUGAUUGCAAUUUUCCAAGUUCAUACAAUGUGCAGAUAGAGAAGAACUCUUUCAUGCCUUUUUUGCUGGAACUUUCUAUAUCAAAAAGGGACAGACUAGGGGGAGUUUCGCUGCAAUAGAGAUCUUUCAUAGAUGGAUACCGAUAUGAUCUUAUGCAAGGGAUGAGAAACGAUGUAGUAGCAUGCCCUAGUAAGAAUCCUGAAAAGAGCCGACAGAGAACUCUUUCAUGGAUCAUGCCUUUUUUGCUGUACAUUGUAAGUAGUAGUUUUGUGAUCUUAGGCACGUCUCUGUUCAGCCUAGCCUGAGUACUGUCGCGUGCUUCUUUUGAUUUGUGUUAUUUCUAGCACUUGCUUCAAACAUAAGGGGGGCCAGGAAAAACAAUGCUAGAUUGUUAUCUCAACCAACAGCAUCUCUCGGUUUAACAAAUUGUACAAAACAUUAUUAUGUAACCCAUACAAUCACUACAAGAAAGGCAGUCAUAUGAUUCAAUUAAAAUGUCUGCGUCUGCUAUAAAAUACAGAAGGUGCAACCAUAAUUACCUAAAUUCGAGUAACUAAGUUCACCAAAGUUUCAUGGCCAGUAUAUACCAAAACAAGAAACACAUUUUCAGCCCUUUUUAACUUACAAAACACACACACUUAUCAGCUUUCCUCAGCACGGCACCCGCGUCUUCUAUGCAACAGUGGAAUUGAAUGAACAAAUGACCUGUUGCCGCGCACCUCGUGGAACAUGACAGCGCCUUGAAGCUCGCUGAAUCUCUUGGUCUCGUUUCAUCAUACGUAAUAAGCCAGCAAAGUAGCCAACGCAGUCCAGAACACCAAUAGUGGGAGCGUCCAUGGUUGUUUUGUCAGAGGGCUUGCACUAGGCAACCAUGGAUAGUCAUCGGGAGACGGCAUGACACAGUUAUCACCAUUGAAGUACACACGCCGUGGAAACGCCCAUCCUUUUUGGAAGGUGAAAGUCUCUGAGUCCUUCCGCAUGAGUAGUUCUGACUGCGCGUUUCCAAGCGGACCAGCUUGAUUGAGCAAAUCAUUGUAGAACUUCAUUCCCCAGAACAUUGCGGUGUCAUCUGAAAUGGGAGGGAUAAACACGUCAGAUAGGAGGCACAUCUCUAAGUCAGAAACUAAUUAAAAUAGUUCACAAGGUGACUUACUUAUGCGGCCUCCAUAUGGGGUAAGUGGCUUAUAGUUGAAGCUGAACAGCUUUGUGAUAUUAUCGAAGUUAGGAUGCUGGGCAACCAUGUUCCAGUCUGUAUAAUUCAUGCGGUAGUUGAAGUUUGUGAUGGUGACUUUCACUCUCCAGUAGUCCUUGUAGUUGAGCUUCACAUGCCAAUGGAUUCUUAUCGGGCACAUGUGGGAAGUACAUUGGACAAGAGGCUGGCCGGUUAAUUUGCCAGGGCCAUUGAUGGCAGAUUGCAAAUAAGGCGAAUUGUCACUGUAAAAUGGAUAGGAUUAGUAAGGAAUUUGCAGAAAGUUGGAAACUUAAUAGGAAGCAUAGUAAACAGUAAUGAUUAUUAACUCACUUUACACAGCUUCCUGGACGAGUAAUGUUGUUUUGGCAGCCGCAAGAGCACGUUGGGCAGUUCACAAUAGUGUCAUUAUAAAACGAUGAGAGAGAUACACAGCAGGUUGGAGUCUUCUGAGCAAGGAAUUGGGAGUAUGUGCAGGUUACAUUCCACGACACUGCCAAUAGUGAAUUUCUUUGGUUAAUACCCACUAAAUAAAGAACAUUAAAAGCAAUAAAGCAUAAAAACUAUAUGCAACCAAUCUGAUGUUUCCUGCAUUUGACAUGCAUUAUUUGCAAGUGAACAAAACUAGUUAAGAUAUUAUCAGGCUUAGCGGUGGUUUACUUUAAAAUAAAUAUCAGCUAACAUCAAUCCUAGGUGAUGAACUCAUCUCCUCUCGAAAAUGAAUCACUUCCCGUUUCAAUCCUUUCAAUCUUUCACUAAUCCUACACAUAUUAUAACAUAAAAUUCAUUCACAAUUAAGGAGCACAAACAUACAAAAGUGGUACUAAGAUGUGUUUAGCUCAAUUAGUGUAACUUGCUAAUGCAUUUGCGCAAAGUAUUAAAGCAAUAUAGAGCAAGCAGUGAAGAGCAAUGAGUGGGCAACUUACUGAGAGCUUGGGUUACCCUGCGCCCGUCUGACGAGUAAUACUUGGUAGGCCUGCCAACAAGAGCACGCCCACAUGUGUACCCUGGACCUGGGGCCCUAAGGGUGAAGUUUUUCGGCAUCUUAACCGUCUUAUUGGUAGUCCCAGCAAGACCUACACUAAUCUGGAAGGAGGAUGCUGCAUUUCCUGGGUCCUGGUUAAAUGUCUUUAUAACUCCUGCCUUGCAACAAUUAGCAAUUUGCUGGUUGAAUGGGGUGCCCGGAAGAAGAUCGACAAUCGUUGGAUCUCUCUUGCAGCAAUGGGGAGGGGCACUCUUGAAUUUGGAGCAAUCACCCUGCUCAGUAGCCUGAGCCCCCACCAUCGACCAGAUGACCUCUUUCUUUGCCCACGACCACCCCAGCUGCCACCCAGGUGCAGGUAUGUGUCGGAACUGCUGGUAGUUAAACAUUGUGACUGUUGCCUGCACAUGACAAGUUUGGGAAAAAAAGAUCAUGAUCCAAGUAGAGGUGACCGGAUAUCCAAAAUCUGCUGGUAAUUGCACUUGGUGGCUACUAUAUUGUUUGUGGCAAAGUUUGUGACCAACUAUUAGCCAUGCUACUUGUCAAGGUCAAAUCAUGAGCUAAUAUAUAAUAGGCUAAUAGGUUGAGAUGGAAGACAGAGCUGUUGAUGUGAAGAGGUGCUACUUACAACAUAACCAUCAGGAGUCCACGAAAUAAUAUCCCAUUUUAUGGUGAUGUUGCCAUUUGGAUCCAGCGAAUCAUAAGCCUCUGCGUGAACAAACAAACAAAGGGUGCAUAGAUCAGAUACUCAUAUGGAAACAAACUAAAGAAAGAAGUUCAAUCGACAUGCUAGAUGCACUCUAUGUUACGGAGUACACCAUAAUUGCAGUUUGCAGGAUCUAUCCGCUGGAUACUUUCUAGCAGCAAAACAAUUGGUCGACAUGUUUUUUACUGAUUCGCUUCCCUCCUGGACAGAUCUAUCGCCACAGAGCUCGACACGAGCAAGUGUGAACAAGAAUCAGCAGAAUGGCAGCGGGGAAGCUUGACAGAUCGCUCGUCCCACAGAUAUGGAUAGCUUCCUAAUUUGGCUUCAGAAUGCGGACAAGCUCGAAAUGAACGGACAGAAUUAACCCGGUGGGAUCAAAAUUAGAAGCCACCGACACCGACAGCACUAACUAAACUGGAAUGGGCAUUUGACCCGCGCGCAGAGCAGAACCGUGCGACCGCCUUGAUCUCAGCGAUGCUCCGCGGCGAUCGGGAUCCGUAUACCGAGUCGCCGGCUCCCGGCACGACGACGAGGCACGAGAAGGAGAGAGAGGAGGACCGGGCGGGCGGGAAGGAGGGGAG